Molecule: non-coding RNA, 363 nt
Organism: Pelobates cultripes (western spadefoot toad)
Lineage: Eukaryota; Metazoa; Chordata; Amphibia; Anura; Pelobatidae
Source: the annotation of a GenBank genome assembly
UAGAUGCAAAAACACCUUUAUUAAUAAAUAGAAAAUAAAGUAAUAACCAAAAGCAAAGUCCAGGAGGCAAGCAGGGGUCAGGCACCAAAGCAGGUAGUCAGAUGAGGCAGGAUCAGGAGAACGGAGAGCAGCAAAGUCAGGAACAAGGCCAGAGUCAGGAACCAGGAACACACAGGAACAAGGAGACUUCUGGGGAACAGGAAACCACGCAAGGGCAAGGAGGUACUGGGAUUUGCUGCUUAAAUAGGCUGCACGGAUUAGCAGCAGGGUUGGUUACUAUCAGGUGAGUAACCGUAGCAACAUUAAUGAAGGAGCUGAUCGUUAAUCUCAGCUGAAAACUCAGACACAGAAAAAGGAAGGGUU